GAUGGACGCUGGCGGCGUGCUUAACACAUGCAAGUCGAACGGUGAAGGCGGAGCUUGCUCUGCUGGAUCAGUGGCGAACGGGUGAGUAACACGUGAGCAAUCUGCCCCUGACUCUGGGAUAAGCGCUGGAAACGGCGUCUAAUACUGGAUACGAGCUGCGAAGGCAUCUUCAGCAGCUGGAAAGAACUUCGGUCAGGGAUGAGCUCGCGGCCUAUCAGCUUGUUGGUGAGGUAACGGCUCACCAAGGCGUCGACGGGUAGCCGGUCUGAGAGGGUGACCGGCCAAAGGGGGACUGAGAACGGGCCAGGACUCCCAGGGGAGGAAGGGGGGGGGAAUUUUGCACAAGGGGCGAAAGCCGGAUGCAGCAACGCCGGGUGGGGGACGACGGCCUUGGGGUUGUAAACCUUUUUUAGGAGGGAAGAAGGAAAAGUGACGGUACCUGCAAAAAAAGCGCCGGCUAACUAGGG
This 467-nucleotide ribosomal RNA is filed under the name uncultured bacterium. RNAcentral describes it as "partial 16S ribosomal RNA". It matches the Rfam family "Bacterial small subunit ribosomal RNA", at positions 28 to 506 of the family's 1533-position model. The record is from RNAcentral.